This 488-nucleotide ribosomal RNA is filed under the name uncultured bacterium. RNAcentral's name for it is "partial 16S ribosomal RNA". It matches the Rfam family "Bacterial small subunit ribosomal RNA", at positions 28 to 507 of the family's 1533-position model. The record is from RNAcentral.
GAUGAACGCUAGCUACAGGCUUAACACAUGCAAGUCGAGGGGCAGCAUGAUUGAAGCUUGCUUCAAUCGAUGGCGACCGGCGCACGGGUGAGUAACACGUAUCCAACCUGCCGAUAACUCGGGGAAAGCCUUUCGAAAGAAAGUUUAAUACCCGAUGGAAUAGUAUUUCCCCUUGGUUUCACAAUUAAAAAACUUCGGUUAUCGAGGGGAUGCGUUCCAUUAGAUAGUUGGCGGGGUAACGGCCCACCAAGUCAACGAUGGAUAGGGGUUCUGAGAGGAAGGUCCCCCACAUUGGAACUGAGACACGGUCCAAACUCCUACGGGAGGCAGCAGUGAGGAAUAUUGGUCAAUGGACGAGAGUCUGAACCAGCCAAGUAGCGUGAAGGAUGACUGCCCUAUGGGUUGUAAACUUCUUUUAUACGGGAAUAAAGUGGAGUAUGCAUACUCCUUUGUAUGUACCGUAUGAAUAAGGAUCGGCUAACUCCGUG